RNAcentral lists this ribosomal RNA (381 nucleotides) under uncultured bacterium. RNAcentral's name for it is "bacterial SSU rRNA". It matches the Rfam family "Bacterial small subunit ribosomal RNA", at positions 28 to 416 of the family's 1533-position model. The record is from RNAcentral.
GACGAACGCUGGCGGCGUGCUUAACACAUGCAAGUCGAACGGUAAGGCCCUUCGGGUACACGAGUGGCGAACGGGUGAGUAACACGUGGUGAUCUGCCCUGCACUUCGGGAUAAGCCUGGGAAACUGGGUCUAAUACCGGAUAGGACUCCUGGCUUCAUGGUUGGGGUGUAAAGCUUUUGCGGUGUGGGAUGGGCCCGCGGCCUAUCAGCUUGUUGGUGGGGUAAUGGCCUACCAAGGCGACGACGGGUAGCCGGCCUGAGAGGGUGACCGGCCACACUGGGACUGAGAUACGGCCCAGACUCCUACGGGAGGCAGCAGUGGGGAAUAUUGCACAAUGGGCGCAAGCCUGAUGCAGCGACGCCGCGUGAGGGAUGACGGCC